ACAGGUGCUGCAUGGCUGUCGUCAGCUCGUGUCGUGAGAUGUUCGGUUAAGUCCGCUAACGAGCGCAACCCUCGCUGUGUGUUACAAGUGUCACACGGUACUGCCGGUCUUAAGCCGGAGGAAGGUGGGGAUGACGGUCAAGUCAGCAUGGCCUUUAUGUCCCUUGGGCUUACACGACACGCUACAAUGGCCAACACAAUAGGUUGCUAAGCCGCGAGGUGGAGCCAAUCCUCAAAGUUAGGUCUCAGUUCAGAUUGCAGGCUGCAACCCGCCUGCAUGAAGAUGGAGUUGCUAGUAACCGCAGGUCAGCUAUACUGCGGUGAAUACGUUCCCGGGGCUU
Molecule: ribosomal RNA, 340 nt
Filed under: uncultured Leptolinea sp.
Lineage: Bacteria; Bacillati; Chloroflexota; Anaerolineae; Anaerolineales; Anaerolineaceae
Description: bacterial SSU rRNA
Rfam family: Bacterial small subunit ribosomal RNA
Source: RNAcentral